RNAcentral lists this ribosomal RNA (643 nucleotides) under uncultured bacterium. RNAcentral's name for it is "bacterial SSU rRNA". It matches the Rfam family "Bacterial small subunit ribosomal RNA", at positions 232 to 885 of the family's 1533-position model. The record is from RNAcentral.
CGCGGCCUAUCANKUUGUUGGUGGGGUAAUGGCCUACCAAGGCGACGACGGGUAGCCGGCCUGAGAGGGCGACCGGCCACACUGGGACUGAGACACGGCCCAGACUCCUACGGGAGGCAGCAGUGGGGAAUAUUGCACAAUGGGCGAAAGCCUGAUGCAGCGACGCCGCGUGAGGGAUGACGGCCUUCGGGUUGUAAACCUCUUUCAGUAGGGACGAAGCGCAAGUGACGGUACCUACAGAAGAAGCACCGGCCAACUACGUGCCAGCAGCCGCGGUAAUACGUAGGGUGCGAGCGUUGUCCGGAUUUACUGGACGUAAAGAGCUCGUAGGCGGUUUGUCACGUCGUCUGUGAAAACCCGAGGCUUAACCUCGGGCCUGCAGGCGAUACGGGCAGACUUGAGUACUGUAGGGGAGACUGGAAUUCCUGGUGUAGCGGUGGAAUGCGCAGAUAUCAGGAGGAACACCGGUGGCGAAGGCGGGUCUCUGGGCAGUAACUGACGCUGAGGAGCGAAAGCGUGGGUAGCGAACAGGAUUAGAUACCCUGGUAGUCCACGCCGUAAACGGUGGGUACUAGGUGUGGGUUUCCUUCCACGGGAUCCGUGCCGUAGCUAACGCAUUAAGUACCCCGCCUGGGGAGUACGG